GGAAGGGAGGAAGCGUAGAAGGUGCCGAUGCACUUUUCCUCUCUCCAGACUUCCUGACUGCUCCAAGAAUUUCAUCGAACAAGACUCAAAGAGGCCCAGCUGCUCUGCGUUUUGAUUCUUCUCCCUCUCUCAGUCCACACUGACCUGGGAGGGGCUUCUCAAACACCACAUUUCCUAGCAUGCUGUGAGAAGAGGACUGUGAGCUAAAAAGGGAGAAAAGCCAAAUAAAAACACAGACAAACCAACCAACCAAGCACUGACGAGCCAGUAAAGAGGGAACUGUGGAGGAAUCAGGGCUGAGAGAAUCUCUGAUACAGCAGCGGAAAUAGGAAUGGGCCUGUCUUGAUCACCUGGCUGUGCUCAGCUACUGGCUGGAGCUACCUAUGAAAGCCUCAGAGCAAACACAUUGAUAGAUUUCAGAGCACUGUUGCUGGGCCCCGGUAUGAUUUUGCUUCCUGUCAUUGGAGGUCUGUGAGGCCCAUUCUUAGAGCCAUGAGAAAUCGCUCCCCAUUAAAGUCUUAAAA
This 524-nucleotide non-coding RNA is filed under the name Pongo abelii (Sumatran orangutan). The record is from RNAcentral. Lineage: Eukaryota; Metazoa; Chordata; Mammalia; Primates; Hominidae.